RNAcentral lists this ribosomal RNA (502 nucleotides) under uncultured bacterium. RNAcentral's name for it is "partial 16S ribosomal RNA". It matches the Rfam family "Bacterial small subunit ribosomal RNA", at positions 28 to 507 of the family's 1533-position model. The record is from RNAcentral.
GACGAACGCUGGCGGCGUGCCUAAUACAUGCAAGUCGAACGAACCGCGACUAAGUGCUUGCACUAAGUCAAGGUGAGUGGCGAACGGGUGAGUAACACGUGGGUAACCUACCUCAUAGUGGGGGAUAACAGUCGGAAACGACUGCUAAUACCGCAUAGGACAUAGGAUCACAUGAUCCAGUGAGGAAAGGUGGCGCAAGCUAUCGCUAAGAGAUGGACCCGCGGUGCAUUAGCUAGUUGGUAGGGUAAAGGCCUACCAAGGCGAUGAUGCAUAGCCGACCUGAGAGGGUGAUCGGCCACAUUGGGACUGAGACACGGCCCAAACUCCUACGGGAGGCAGCAGUAGGGAAUCUUCCGCAAUGGACGCAAGUCUGACGGAGCAACGCCGCGUGAGUGAAGAAGGUCUUCGGAUCGUAAAGCUCUGUCGUUAGAGAAGAACAGCGCAUAGAGUAACUGCUAUGCGUGUGACGGUAUCUAACCAGAAAGCCACGGCUAACUACGUG